RNAcentral lists this ribosomal RNA (321 nucleotides) under uncultured eukaryote. Its description in RNAcentral is "partial 18S ribosomal RNA". It matches the Rfam family "Eukaryotic small subunit ribosomal RNA", at positions 1470 to 1796 of the family's 1831-position model. The record is from RNAcentral.
CCCUUAGAUGUCCUGGGCCGCACGCGCGCUACACUGACAUGUUCAACAAGCCUCCUAGUUCGACAGGAUUUGGGAAAUCUUUGAACGCAUGUCGUGAUAGGGAUAGAUCAUUGCAAUUAUUGAUCUUGAACGAGGAAUUCCUAGUAAACGCGAGUCAUCAGCUCGCAUUGAUUACGCCCCUGCCCUUUGUACACACCGCCCGUCGCACCUACCGAUUGAAUGUUUCGGUGAAGAUUCCGGAUAGGACUUUUUUGAUUUAUUUCAAUUUUGUCUUAAAAGCUAUCUAAACCUCAACAUUUAGAGGAAGGUGAAGUCGUAACA